Molecule: long non-coding RNA, 143 nt
Organism: Rhodamnia argentea
Lineage: Eukaryota; Viridiplantae; Streptophyta; Magnoliopsida; Myrtales; Myrtaceae
Exons: 3
Source: RefSeq, a predicted model, not a curated record
UUUAGCAAAAGAUGAUAUUUGCUCAAAGAGCUUUGUGCAUUCAUCCUAAAAAAGAAUCACUCCUCAUGUAUUAUUGGACCCUCACAAUCUUUUGCAAGCUCCCUAACUUUUGUUUUGUAGUAUGCAAAAGGGAUUGGACGGUG